RNAcentral lists this long non-coding RNA (292 nucleotides) under Elaeis guineensis (African oil palm). RNAcentral's name for it is "long non-coding RNA (EGUI_LNC064116)". The record is from RNAcentral. Lineage: Eukaryota; Viridiplantae; Streptophyta; Magnoliopsida; Arecales; Arecaceae.
GGGAUCAAGUGGGGAGGUAACCAAGCUAAUGGUGAUCAAUUUUUGAAUGCCAAAAAGAUGAGGAGAUGUGCAUGAAAAGUUCCUACGGGAGAGGCACAGGAUGAAGGUCCAAGGGUGUGAGGUUUGUUGGCUUCUACCCCUUCUUUCUUACCAACAACCAAAGGUUGGUUGUUAGGGUCUUCUCUCCCAUCUUUUAUCCUAGUUUGGAUAUGAAUUUUUCUCUUCUCUUUAUCCAAGAGUUGGAUAAAAAUUUUUAUAUCUCUAGUAUAGAGAUUUGUUGCAUGGGUUUUAC